Molecule: transfer RNA, 76 nt
Filed under: Clostridiales bacterium
Lineage: Bacteria; Bacillati; Bacillota; Clostridia; Eubacteriales
Description: tRNA-Thr
Rfam family: tRNA
About the family: Transfer RNA (tRNA) molecules are approximately 80 nucleotides in length. Their secondary structure includes four short double-helical elements and three loops (D, anti-codon, and T loops).
Source: RNAcentral
GCUUACAUGGCGCAGUAGGUAGCGCACGUCAUUGGUAAUGACGAGGUCGGCAGUUCGAAUCUGCUUGUAAGCUCCA